UGGGGAAUAUUGCACAAUGGGGGAAACCCUGAUGCAGCGACGCCGCGUGAGCGAUGAAGGCUUUCGAGUCGUAAAGCUCUGUCCUAUGGGAAGAUAAUGACGGUACCAUAGGAGGAAGCCCCGGCUAACUACGUGCCAGCAGCCGCGGUAAUACGUAGGGGGCGAGCGUUGUCCGGAAUUACUGGGCGUAAAGGGUUCGCAGGCGGCAUGGCAAGUCCGAUGUAAAAGGCGAAGGCUCAACCUUCGUAAGCAUCGGAAACUGUCAAGCUUGAGUGAAGGAGAGGCAAGUGGAAUUCCUAGUGUAGCGGUGGAAUGCGUAGAUAUUAGGAGGAAUACCGGUGGCGAAGGCGACUUGCUGGACUUCAACUGACGCUGAGGAACGAAAGCGUGGGUAGCAAACAGG
Molecule: ribosomal RNA, 403 nt
Filed under: Verrucomicrobiota bacterium
Lineage: Bacteria; Pseudomonadati; Verrucomicrobiota
Description: Verrucomicrobia bacterium partial 16S ribosomal RNA
Rfam family: Bacterial small subunit ribosomal RNA
Source: RNAcentral